Molecule: ribosomal RNA, 468 nt
Filed under: uncultured bacterium
Lineage: Bacteria
Description: partial 16S ribosomal RNA
Rfam family: Bacterial small subunit ribosomal RNA
Source: RNAcentral
GACGAACGCUGGCGGCGUGCUUAACACAUGCAAGUCGAACGGAAAGGCCCUGCUUUUGUGGGGUGCUCGAGUGGCGAACGGGUGAGUAACACGUGAGUAACCUGCCCUUGACUUUGGGAUAACUUCAGGAAACUGGGGCUAAUACCGGAUAGGAGCUCCUGCUGCAUGGUGGGGGUUGGAAAGUUUCGGCGGUUGGGGAUGGACUCGCGGCUUAUCAGCUUGUUGGUGGGGUUGUGGCUUACCAAGGCUUUGACGGGUAGCCGGCCUGAGAGGGUGACCGGCCACAUUGGGACUGAGAUACGGCCCAGACUCCUACGGGAGGCAGCAGUGGGGAAUAUUGCACAAUGGGCGGAAGCCUGAUGCAGAAACGCCGCGUGCGGGAUGACGGCCUUCGGGUUGUAAACCGCUUUCGCCUGUGACGAAGCGUGAGUGACGGUAAUGGGUAAAGAAGCACCGGCUAACUACGUG